CGCAGGGCGCGGCUGGGCCACUCGGCCGAGCUGGUGGCGCCUCUGUGAAGGCCUCUUCGGAAAGAGCGAAACGCCGCAUGGCUGUGAAGAGUGAGGAAAAAAGUGUGAGAGUCGGCCCUGAGAGCACCGAGCCAAUGAUUAUCAGAGGAAACUAAUAAUCUUUGAUGGUUUUGGGCUCUUUCAAAUAAAUGAAGUUUGCCAAUGAAUUUUCUUUUUCUAGAAGAGACAUCUUUUCUGAAUUAAGAGGUAUCAGAUGAUCAAUGAAUCCAAGAAUAAUCUGUAUUAAAACUGAGUUGGUCAUCCAAGACCUACUGGCUUGUCUUCAGUCAGCCACCACACUGGUAUACCUGUCAGCACGUACCAAAUCUACU
Chroicocephalus ridibundus (black-headed gull) is the source of this 371-nucleotide long non-coding RNA. RefSeq lists it as uncharacterized. The record is from RefSeq and is a predicted model, not a curated record. NCBI's taxonomy places the organism in Eukaryota, Metazoa, Chordata, Aves, Charadriiformes, Laridae. The transcript is spliced from 3 exons.